This 376-nucleotide ribosomal RNA is filed under the name uncultured bacterium. RNAcentral describes it as "bacterial SSU rRNA". It matches the Rfam family "Bacterial small subunit ribosomal RNA", at positions 524 to 898 of the family's 1533-position model. The record is from RNAcentral.
GACAGAGGGUGCAAACGUUGCUCGGAAUUACUGGGCGUAAAGCGCGUGUAGGCCGGUUGGUAAGUCAGAUGUGAAAUCCCUGGGCUCAACCCAGGAACUGCAUUUGAAACUGCCAGCCUAGAGUGGUGGAGAGGGAGGCGGAAUUCCUGGUGUAGAGGUGAAAUUCGUAGAUAUCAGGAGGAACAUCGGUGGCGAAGGCGGCCUCCUGGACACUUACUGACGCUGAGACGCGAAAGCGUGGGGAGCAAACAGGAUUAGAUACCCUGGUAGUCCACGCCGUAAACGAUGAGUGCUAGAUGUCGCGGGUAUUGACCCCUGCGGUGUCGUAGCUAACGCGUUAAGCACUCCGCCUGGGGAGUACGGCCGCAAGGCUAAA